UCUUUUAAGAUUAAAGGGAUCGUGUUUGAACUCCAUAUCUGAAAGGGAACUGAGGCUUAGAGAGAACACCCUGCUCUAGCUCUCAGCAGCGCGGCGGGUGGGUACGGGUGGCUGCCAGGAUACCAGGUUAUGUUUCAGUUUUGUUUUGUUUUCUCCUGGCAAAGAUCUUGUGGCAAAGUGGUGACUAACUGGGUUUUGAUUUCAGCCAACAAGUGUCCCGUCCAGUUCCUCUAGCUUCACUCUGCCAGGUAUCAAAGAGGACAACAGCCUGCUCAACCAGGGCUUCCUGCAGGCCAAACCUGAGAAGGUGGUGGCCACCCAGAAGGCCCGGAGCCACAUUCCAGCCCCUGCCCCUAUGACCAGCGCCUGGAAGAUGGUGGCCUGUGGAGGCACCAAAGACCAGCUCUUCAUGCAAGAGAAAGCCCGGCAGCUCCUGGGCCGCUUAAAGCCCAGCCGAUCAUCUCGGACCCUCAUUCUGUCCUGAAGGGGCUUAGUGGGCACAAGCCUGUUUUCAUGUUUACAGGGGCUAGGGUCGGGGUGAGGUAUGCAUUGAAAUCACAUUCAGGUGGUCAGCUUCAGGAAGUCGUCUGCUGUCAGCCCCUCAGACUACUCAGUGGCAGCAGAAGGAACACACUAUAUCCUGUCCCCAGGUCUAGCUUCGUGAAGUUCCUGGUGCUAACAGAACAAAGUCCCACUCCUAGGCCUGUCUGUCCUGUCCCCGAUGCCACAAGGAGCCCUGUUAGCUUCUCCCAAGCUCUCAGCAGGCCUGGCCUCAUCUCACCCCUGCUUAGGAUAGGGGGUGUGGCUAGGAGUGUUCCUUUUCUCAUCCCCCGUUGGUACAUUCUCUCCACAAUAAAAUGCCGUUCUCCCUAUGCA
This is a non-coding RNA of Peromyscus maniculatus bairdii (prairie deer mouse), 876 nucleotides long. The record is from RefSeq and is a predicted model, not a curated record. Lineage: Eukaryota; Metazoa; Chordata; Mammalia; Rodentia; Cricetidae.